This is a non-coding RNA of Pelobates cultripes (western spadefoot toad), 223 nucleotides long. Lineage: Eukaryota; Metazoa; Chordata; Amphibia; Anura; Pelobatidae. The record is from the annotation of a GenBank genome assembly.
AUCUACUUAUAUGAAUAAACAUAAACUAAUUAAAUAUAGUGUGAUUGGAUGAAAACUGCAAAGAAGAAACAUGCAUAAAUACUAGGCCUGUACACUUAUAGCUUAAUACAUGGAUGGCUAUAUCAUAAAACUUGCGCUACUCAGCCGAUGCCUUUGGAUAGGAGGCCAUUGAUUCAAGGUACCAUUGAGUCAUGGAGGAGAGUCCCACCAGCUCCAAGUGUGG